Molecule: transfer RNA, 69 nt
Filed under: Balta hwangorum
Lineage: Eukaryota; Metazoa; Arthropoda; Insecta; Blattodea; Pseudophyllodromiidae
Description: tRNA-Gln
Source: RNAcentral
UACAUUUUAGUGUACGAUGCACAAAAGAUUUUGAUUCUUUGAGAUAUAGUUUAAUUCUAUUAAAUGUAU